This 1238-nucleotide long non-coding RNA is filed under the name Homo sapiens (human). RNAcentral's name for it is "HSALNT0342910". The record is from RNAcentral. Lineage: Eukaryota; Metazoa; Chordata; Mammalia; Primates; Hominidae.
UAGGGGAUGAAGUCACAGUAUUGGGACCCAGGUCAUAGAGAGCCCUGGAAGGCAUUUUAAGGACUUGGACUUUGAGGAAAAUGAGAAACCAUUGGCCAGUUUGGGGUAUUGGGAGAAGGAGAGGCUGUCAACCCAUGCCACUAUGCUAUCUCUAAUUCUGCCAUCCAGACCGAGCAAACGUACUUAAGACCUUUGUGUAAGAUCAGAAAAUCAUAAGACAGCAUUAAAAAGUACUAUACAGGAGGAGAUGGAACAAGAUGGCCAAAUAGAAGCCUCCAGCAAUCAUCUCCCCGAAAGGAAUUGAACAACUAUCAAAACAAAAUUGAACAACUAUCUAAACAAAAAAGUACCUUCAUAAAAAACAAAAAUCAGGACAAUAUCAGAACGGCACAUACAAGUGUCCCCAAGUCAUAUUUGGAAUAAGAUCACUUGGGAACACAAGUCAAAGAAGGACACAGUGUUCUGCCUCUCCUGAGUAAGCAGCAACAACGCACCAUCUUGGAAUCAGGGGACGGCCCUCACCAGACAACUAAAUCUGCAGACACCUUGGACUUCCCAGCCUCCAGAACUGUCUUUCUGGCAACUGUCUAAACAUAAACCAGAGAAGGGCAAGGCAGACUCAGGAAGGACAAAUAGAAGGCUAUUUUCAUAAAUCGGACCACCACCACAUGUGCAGCAUCCCUCUGGGUCUCUUCCAUGACAACCCUGUGGGAAGCCAGCUUGGCAGGUCACCUUGUUCUAGCAGAUAGAAACUGAAUCAAUAUGGGAAGAGCCAGAAUUUGGACAAGGUUCACCAAACAUUCACACUGAUGCCAGGUGGGCCAAGAAAAAGGGAAUGUCCUGCCUCUGAGAAACUCAUCAUACAGUUUGGAGAUAACAUUUGUUGAAGGAGAGAAGAAAAGAGGAGAGAGGAAUGGAGUGAGGCAGAAAGGAAAUGAUGACGAGCUACUCUUCAAAAUUAAGCUGGAUAACAACAAGAAAUUCUAGAAAGCAAUUGAGGCAACCUCCACCCUAAGACCCAGGUAAACCCUACAUUUAAAGUGCUGUUCUGGGGCACAGUGAAAGAUUUCUGCCAGAAAAUUUGCUCCCUAGGAUUUACAUGAUGAUGAGAUUACAUGCUGCCUUGUGGCAACAAAAUCAAAAGUCUGUAAAAGAAAAAGCGUGCUAUGCUUCUGAAUGUUUGGAGAUCCUACAAUAGAUUUUUCAUUCAGCUAUUUUGUUGCUGCUUCAUGAGCACA